Molecule: ribosomal RNA, 402 nt
Filed under: uncultured bacterium
Lineage: Bacteria
Description: bacterial SSU rRNA
Rfam family: Bacterial small subunit ribosomal RNA
Source: RNAcentral
AACGAACGCUGGCGGCGUGGAUAAGACAUGCAAGUCGAACGGGAACUUCAGCUGUAGCAAUACAGUUGAAGUUUUAGUGGCGAACGGGUGCGUAACACGUGGGCAAUCUGCCGAGAAGUGGGGGAUAGCUCGCCGAAAGGCGAAUUAAUACCGCAUAUGAUCAGCUAAGACAUCUUAGCGACAUCAAAGCCGGGGCAACCUGGCGCUUUUUGAGGAGCCCGCGGCCUAUCAGCUAGUUGGUGAGGUAACGGCUCACCAAGGCUAUGACGGGUAGCUGGUCUGAGAGGACGACCAGUCACACUGGAACUGAGACACGGUCCAGACACCUACGGGUGCAGCAGUCGAGAAUUUUUCUCAAUGGGGGCAACCCUGAAGGAGCGACGCCGCGUGGAGGAUGAAGGC